AUCUCGCGAGAGCCGCGCGGCCCCCGAAGGCUCGCAGGCGGAAGUGAGACGCCGGAAGCGGUCGUUGCCAUGGAUCCUGGGGACGACUGGCUGGUGGAAUCCUUGCGCUUGUAAAUCGUACCAGGAUUUCUAUGCAUUCGACCUGUCAGGAGCCACUCGAGUCCUUGAAUGGAUUGAUGACAAAGGAGUCUUUGUUGCUGGCUAUGAAAGCCUGAAAAAGAAUGAAAUUCUUCAUCUGAAAUUACCUCUCAGACUUUCUGUAAAGGAAAACAAGGGCUUAUUCCCAGAAAGAGAUUUCAAAGUGCGCCAUGGAGGAUUUUCAGACAGGUCUAUCUUUGAUCUAAAGCAUGUGCCACAUACCAGAUUGCUGGUUACCAGUGGCCUUCCAGGUUGUUAUCUGCAGGUGUGGCAGGUUGCAGAGGACAGUGAUGUCAUUAAAGCUGUCAGCACCAUUGCUGUGCAUGAGAAAGAGGAGAGUCUCUGGCCUAGGGUGGCCGUCUUCUCCACAUUGGCACCCGGAGUCCUCCAUGGGGCGAGGCUCCGAAGUCUGCAGGUCGUUGAUCUGGAGUCCCGGAAGACCACGUACACCUCAGAUGUCAGUGACAGUGAGGAGCUGAGUAGCCUGCAGGUCCUAGAUGCAGACACCUUUGCCUUCUGCUGUGCUUCAGGCCGGCUGGGGCUUGUUGACACCCGGCAGAAGUGGGCACCGUUGGAGAAUCGCAGCCCUGGCCCUGGGUCUGGUGGAGAGAGAUGGUGUGCUGAAGUUGGGAGCUGGGGCCAGGGCCCUGGGCCCAGCAUUGCCAGCCUUGGCUCAGAUGGGCGUCUUUGUCUUCUUGACCCCCGGGAUCUCUGCCAUCCUGUGAGCUCAGUCCAGUGCCCAGUAUCCGUACCUAGCCCUGACCCAGAGCUGCUGCGAGUGACUUGGGCCCCAGGCCUGAAGAAUUGCUUGGCCAUCUCAGGUUUUGAUGGUACAGUCCAGGUCUAUGAUGCCACAUCUUGGGAUGGAACACGGAGCCAAGAUGGAACACGGAGCCAAGUAGAACCUCUCUUCACUCACAGAGGUCACAUCUUCCUAGAUGGAAAUGGGAUGGACCCUGCUCCUUUGGUCACCACCCACACCUGGCAUCCCUGCAGACCAAGGACUUUGUUAUCAGCAACAAAUGAUGCCUCUCUGCAUGUGUGGGACUGGGUGGACCUUUGUGCCCCCCGCUGACACCAGCAUCUUUCCAUCUAGGCCUCUAGAAAGGGGAGGAGCUGCUGUAGUAGCAAGGGUGCUCAUGUAGGACUCAAGUGACUACCAGUCCCUGUUACCAGCUGUGUGGCCUUGGGCAAGUCUGCCAGCGUCACUUAGCCUCAGUUUCCUUAUCUGUAAAAUGAGGAUAGUAAGAACUACCUCGUAGUGAUAUUGCGAAGGUUAGAAGAAACGCAUGGCAUAAUUACUUGGUAGCUAUUGUUAGAUCUGGGAGUGUGAAAUGGUAGCGUUUUGUCCCUGUCUUCACACUAUCAUAGGGAGAAUCAAAAGAGCUAACAAAUAUAAACAUGCUUUGUGAAUUUUUUUAAAGAAAAAAAUGUAGAGGGGCCAAUAAACAUGAAAAAAUCCCAGCCCUAGUAGCAAUUAAGGAAAUAGCAAAACAGGAUUUCUGCUCCUCUUGAGUGGGUCUCAUGGGAACACAGGUGCACUUUCCCACACUUGUCCCCCCAGGUGACUAGGUUCAAGAGACAUUUGCUUUUGGUGGCCCCACAAACAUUUCCUUUUGAGGGCCCAUAGUGAAUAUUAAAGUGUGCUGGACAUGGUGGCUCAUGCCUGUAAUCCCAGCACUUUCAGAGGCUGAGGUGGGCAGAUUGCUUGAGCUGAGGAGUUUGAGACCAGCCUGGGCAACAUAGCAAGAUCCCUUCCCUUAAAAAAAAAAAAAAA
RNAcentral lists this unclassified non-coding RNA (1915 nucleotides) under Homo sapiens (human). RNAcentral describes it as "WD repeat domain 73 (ENSG00000291629.1)". Lineage: Eukaryota; Metazoa; Chordata; Mammalia; Primates; Hominidae. The record is from RNAcentral.